This 1105-nucleotide long non-coding RNA is filed under the name Cyanistes caeruleus (blue tit). RNAcentral describes it as "lncRNA (ENSCCEG00000003198.1)". The record is from RNAcentral. Lineage: Eukaryota; Metazoa; Chordata; Aves; Passeriformes; Paridae.
AAGUGGUAGUGUUUGCAUGAUACCAAUUUUUUCCCCAAACUUGCCAGUUAGGUAGAAUAUUGUUUCUAGCUUCCCAUUUGAAAAUUUGAGUUGGUAUCAACAAUAGAAAAGAUUUUUCUCAAUGUUCUUAUAACAGUAAUGAUUUUUUUGCCUUUAGAGCACUGUAUUAGUUGACUGAUACAUCAAGUAAUGUGGAAUCUGCCUUGUAGGUUCCAAUGGAAUGGUAACUUCAUACUAAUAACAUAAACAUCUAACUUGCAGCAUAAAAAAUUUAAGCUAGAAAAUGAAAAUUCUGCUUUCAAUAACAUAGUGUUUGACACAAAGCUUUUCCAAGUAUACAAGCAUAUCCCUCAAUCCUGGAUGGGGUUUUUUUGCUGUAUGGUUGUUGGAGGGCAGUCUUACAGGACCAGUUUUUAGAUGUAAAAUUAGAUGGAUAUGAUGCACUUGGAUUAAUUUUCUGUAAAUGUUAUCUGAUCACCUUGAAAACUGGAUGCUUGGGUGGCACUUUUUGGCUCUAGACAGCUCUAGACAUUUCCUACAGGUAAAUGUUGGUUUGAUUUUUGAAUCUUUUUUUUUUUUUUCCACAGGGGAGAAAAUAUUAGUCAGUGCUGACAAGCUGAAGAGUUGAUGUAUAAAUACCACUUUAAACUAUGGAACUUUUAAGUAUAAGACUCCUUAUAAAGCACUCUAAUAUUUUUCCUGAUUAGUGUAUUCAUCACUGCCAUUGUACUUGGCAAAUAUUUGUAACACGAAUUCAUGUCUUUAUGGCUCAAAAUGCUUAAUUCUGAGACAGUUUGUCCUUGAUUCCAGGGGCAGUUUGUUGUCAGGGAAUGACAUUUUCAGGUAUGUCUUUCCUCACGGGCUCUCAUCUAAAGCCACCUGCCUAAAUCUGACAGUUGAGCACCAGCUGGGAGUUAUGACCCGGAGAAGCAUAAAAGGGCUGGAGCGAGACAAAAUGAUCCAUCAAGUCCUGCUUGUUUUCAGCAAUUGUGUGAAAAUCAGCUCAGAGCUUCAGUUUGUUCCUGUGGAUGCUGUCUAUCAGUGUUUGGAGAACCAGGACCUCCACAGAAAGGGAAGCCAAUGCCAAAACAAUGAAAGCUUUUAA